GACGGAGGGUGCAAGCGUUGUUCGGAAUUACUGGGUGUAAAGGGUUCGUAGGCGGUGUGGCAAGUCGGGAGUGAAAUCUCUGGGCUUAACACAGGGGCUGCUUCCGAAACUGCUGUGCUAGAGUGUGGGAGAGGCGCGUGGAAUUGCAGGUGUAGCGGUGAAAUGCGUAGAUAUCCGCAGGAACACCCGUGGCGAGAGCGGCGCGCUGGACCACUACUGACGCUGAGGCGCGAAAGCUAGGGGAGCAAACAGG
Molecule: ribosomal RNA, 253 nt
Filed under: uncultured prokaryote
Description: partial 16S ribosomal RNA
Rfam family: Bacterial small subunit ribosomal RNA
Source: RNAcentral